RNAcentral lists this ribosomal RNA (1307 nucleotides) under uncultured bacterium. RNAcentral describes it as "bacterial SSU rRNA". It matches the Rfam family "Bacterial small subunit ribosomal RNA", at positions 28 to 1381 of the family's 1533-position model. The record is from RNAcentral.
AACGUACGCUUGGCGGCACGCCUAACACAUGCAAGUCGAACGAAGUAGCAAUACUUAGUGGCAGACGGGUGAGUAACAUGUAGGUAUCUGCCCUUUGGCCUGGAAUAACACGAGGAAACUUGUGCUAAUACCGGAUAAGUCUUUACGGAGAAAGCUUUAUGCACCAUUGGAUGAGCCUGCACUUGAUUAGUUUGUUGGUGGGGUAAUGGCCUACCAAGACUGUGAUCAAUAGCUGAUUUGAGAGGAUGAUCAGCCACAUUGGGACUGAGACACGGCCCAAACUCCUACGGGAGGCAGCAGUGGGGAAUCUUGCACAAUGGAGGAAACUCUGAUGCAGCGAUGCCGCGUGAGUGAAGAAGGCCCUUGGGUUGUAAAGCUCUUUCGUCGGGGAAGAAAAUGACUGUACCCGAAUAAGAAGGUCCGGCUAACUUCGUGCCAGCAGCCGCGGUAAUACGAAGGGACCUAGCGUAGUUCGGAAUUACUGGGCUUAAAGAGUUCGUAGGUGGUUGAAAAAGUUAGUGGUGAAAUCCCAGAGCUUAACUCUGGAACUGCCAUUAAAACUUUUCAGCUAGAGUAUGAUAGAGGAAAGCAGAAUUUCUAGUGUAGAGGUGAAAUUCGUAGAUAUUAGAAAGAAUACCAAUUGCGAAGGCAGCUUUCUGGAUCAUUACUGACACUGAGGAACGAAAGCAUGGGUAGCGAAGAGGAUUAGAUACCCUCGUAGUCCAUGCCGUAAACGAUGUGUGUUAGACGUUGGAAAUUUAUUUUCAGUGUCGCAGGGAAACCGAUAAACACACCGCCUGGGGAGUACGACCGCAAGGUUAAAACUCAAAUGAAUUGACGGGGACCCGCACAAGUAGUGGAGCAUGUGGUUUAAUUCGAAGAUACGCGCAGAACCUUACCAACACUUGACAUGUUCGUCGCGACUCUAAGAGAUUAGAGUUUUCGGUUCGGCCGGACGAAACACAGGUGCUGCAUGGCUGUCGUCAGCUCGUGUCGUGAGAUGUUGGGUUAAGUCCCGCAACGAGCGCAACCCUCACUUUUAGUUGCCAUCAUUAAGUUGGGCACUCUGAAAGAACUGCCAGUGAUAAGCUGGAGGAAGGUGGGGAUGACGUCAAGUCCUCAUGGCCCUUACGUGUUGGGCUACACACGUGCUACAAUGGUAUCUACAACAGGAAGCAAGACUGCGAAGUUAAGCAAAUCCCUAAAAGAUACCUCAGUUCGGAUUGCACUCUGCAACUCGAGUGCAUGAAGCUGGAAUUACUAGUAAUCGUGAAUCAGCGUGCCACGGUGAAUGCGUUCCCGGGUCU